This 497-nucleotide ribosomal RNA is filed under the name uncultured bacterium. RNAcentral's name for it is "partial 16S ribosomal RNA". It matches the Rfam family "Bacterial small subunit ribosomal RNA", at positions 28 to 507 of the family's 1533-position model. The record is from RNAcentral.
GAUGAACGCUGGCGGCGUGCCUAAUACAUGCAAGUCGAGCGAACAGACGAGGAGCUUGCUCCUCUGACGUUAGCGGCGGACGGGUGAGUAACACGUGGAUAACCUACCUAUAAGACUGGGAUAACUUCGGGAAACCGGAGCUAAUACCGGAUAAUAUAUUGAACCGCAUGGUUCAAUAGUUCAAGACGGUUUUGCUGUCACUUAUAGAUGGAUCCGCGCCGCAUUAGCUAGUUGGUAAGGUAACGGCUUACCAAGGCAACGAUGCGUAGCCGACCUGAUAGGGUGAUCGGCCACACUGGAACUGAGACACGGUCCAGACUCCUAAGGGAGGCAGCAGUAGGGAAUCUUCCGCAAUGGGCGAAAGCCUGACGGAGCAAAGCCGCGUGAGUGAUGAAGGUCUUCGGAUCGUAAAACUCUGUUAUUAGGGAAGAACAAAUGUGUAAGUAACUAUGCACGUCUUGACGGUACCUAAUCAGAAAGCCACGGCUAACUACGUG